AUCGCUACCAACAACAACUUCUCAACCAGUCAGUACUAAUCAUUUAUAAUCACUAUCAAACGUUCUGAAAACGCUGCCACCUGCAACCGCAAACGCUGCGGUACAACCAGUCGAACCCUAAGACUUGAAACCGUUGAUGCUAACAUUUUAUCUUCAAUAUGUUUAUAUAUGGACAGAGUCCAGAUGGAGAUAUAAUAGAUUGUAUCCCUAUUACCAACCAGCCGGCGUUUGACCAUCCUUUGCUGAGGAACCACAUCAUCCAGAUGAGGCCAAGUUCCGAACCCGAAGGCGAUCUUGCAGAAGAGGCCGAGGGAAAGCCGAAGGGUAUACGUCAGCUAUGGCACAUGUACGGAGAGUGCCCGGAAAACACAGUUCCGGUCAGAAGAACAAAAGAAGAAGAUCUCUCUUGUCUCGGUUCGUCUACUUACAUUCUUUCUUCUUUUGCCUUCUGUAUAUGUAUAUAUACAGGUCUAUCAACAGUUGUACGGUGACUACAACACAAGACUUUUUAUCUACUGGACACGAGAUGCAUACCAACACACAGGUUGCUACAAUCUUCUGUGCUCAGCGUUUGUCCAGACGGACAGAACUUUCGUCCUUGGUGGAACCCUCAAUCCAACAUCAUCGUAUGGAGGUACCCAGUACGAAAUCAGUCUACUCAUAUGGCGGGACAAGAACGCAG
Long non-coding RNA from Tarenaya hassleriana, 682 nucleotides. RefSeq lists it as uncharacterized. The transcript is spliced from 4 exons. The record is from RefSeq and is a predicted model, not a curated record. Lineage: Eukaryota; Viridiplantae; Streptophyta; Magnoliopsida; Brassicales; Cleomaceae.